AAGAUACAGAUAAAUCCGUUCCCUAUCCUCUGGUAUUUACAUUUUUAUAGAAUACACACAAUGACUGUAUUAUAUUUACCAGGAUAAUUUUGCCCACUAGAGCAUUAGCAUAUCUAAUCAAUUUAUAUUAUAAAACAGGAGGAGAAUCUAAAUCUGUUUUUACGGCUUAUGGAGGAUAUAAAAUAUGAAAGGUUGCUGUUUGGUGAUAUUAGUGGUCUGACUUCGUCUGGUAUGUAUGCUCUUUGUUGCGUGAUUGCAUUCCUCUGUAUAGCCAUUUAUUGUUGUUAUUAGGGCGUAUUGAUACUCUUGUGCGGA
RNAcentral lists this ribosomal RNA (315 nucleotides) under Tubifera ferruginosa. RNAcentral describes it as "partial 12S ribosomal RNA". The record is from RNAcentral. Lineage: Eukaryota; Evosea; Eumycetozoa; Liceales; Reticulariaceae.